RNAcentral lists this ribosomal RNA (260 nucleotides) under uncultured Bacillota bacterium. Its description in RNAcentral is "uncultured Firmicutes bacterium partial 16S ribosomal RNA". It matches the Rfam family "Bacterial small subunit ribosomal RNA", at positions 338 to 590 of the family's 1533-position model. Lineage: Bacteria; Bacillati; Bacillota. The record is from RNAcentral.
CCUACGGGGGGCAGCAGUAGGGAAUCUUCCACAAUGGACGAAAGUCUGAUGGAGCAAUGCCGCGUGAGUGAAGAAGGGUUUCGGCUCGUAAAACUCUGUUGUUGAAGAAGAAUGGGUGUCAGAGUAACUGUUGACAUCGUGACGGUAUUCAACCAGAAAGCCACGGCUAACUACGUGCCAGCAGCCGCGGUAAUACGUAGGUGGCAAGCGUUGUCCGGAUUUAUUGGGCGUAAAGCGAGCGCAGGCGGUUUUUUAAGUCU